UGAAACGAUUUUUAUACUCAUUUUUUGUAUUAUUUUCACUUCUUUUUUGGUAUUAUUUUCACUUCUUUUUGGAGCUAUGGAGUGGUAGGUAUUAUUUUCAUGUUUUCACUAAGAAAUUUUCACAAAAAUUGCAGCAAUGUUUUUGGGCAAAUUUACGAGAAGGAACAGAAAUUUUCACGACAGUAGAAAUUUUCACGAAAGUUUCACAAUUUAUCCCAGAAACAUAGCUACAAUUUUUGUGCUGGUAUAGCAACUUCAGAGUUAUUAGGUGUAAUUUGGCUUAUUUAGGUUUGAACAAUAUGUAAUAUGUAAUUUAUGAACAAGUGAUUAAUUUUUUUAUUGGAUUAGGAUUGUUCUAUGGGUGGCCAGAAUAGGGGAUUAUGUCAUUCUUUUAGGAUGGCGGGACACAUGUUGUCGGAAUGUCCAAAAAAGAUGAAAUGCCCAAACUAGGUGGUUGGAGGUAGAAAAGAAUUCGGACAAUAAAGGGUUGUUGUUCCAUAGUUGUACCUGCAACUGUAGGCUUUUCAAGUUUUCUAAUGUUCCACCAUAUAAAGAGUAUUCAUUGCAAGGUGAAUCAAGUGGCACUACCAACGGAAGUGAACCGGUCGACGAUUUGUCCCGUAUAUUGACGACGUGUGCAAAAAUAACCAAGGAGAGAAACUUGGAGAUUUCAUUGAACAUCACCAUACGCAAAGGAAAACAAGUUUCAGAAGAUGUAGAAUGAAAUCUAUGUAAUUGAAUAGCUUCGACUUACUGUACUUAAAAUUCCAGUGAUGGUUGUCCUCGGAGCACAUUUUCUAUUGAGAUGUCUUCGUCUAGAGCAGUUUGCAUUGUAUGUAGUGAGCUAUUACAAGUGUUCUCAAUCAAAUUUUCAUGUUGCAGUAGAUUGCUUAUUUGGUUGUCUACCCAAUUAUGCUAUUUU
This 922-nucleotide long non-coding RNA is filed under the name Olea europaea subsp. europaea. The record is from RNAcentral. Lineage: Eukaryota; Viridiplantae; Streptophyta; Magnoliopsida; Lamiales; Oleaceae.